AAUAUCAAAGGUGAGCCAGUACAGGAUGGACCCGCGUCUGAUUAGCUAGUUGGUAAGGUAACGGCUUACCAAGGCGACGAUCAGUAGCCGACCUGAGAGGGUGAUCGGCCACAUUGGAACUGAGACACGGUCCAAACUCCUACGGGAGGCAGCAGUGGGGAAUAUUGCACAAUGGGCGAAAGCCUGAUGCAGCAACGCCGCGUGAGUGAUGAAGGCCUUCGGGUCGUAAAACUCUGUCCUCAAGGAAGAUAAUGACGGUACUUGAGGAGGAAGCCCCGGCUAACUACGUGCCAGCAGCCGCGGUAAUACGUAGGGGGCUAGCGUUAUCCGGAUUUACUGGGCGGAAAGGGUGCGUAGGCGGUCUUUCAAGUCAGGAGUGAAAGGCUACGGCUCAACCGUAGUAAGCUCUUGAAACUGGGAGACUUGAGUGCAGGAGAGGAGAGUGGAAUUCCUAGUGUAGCGGUGAAAUGCGUAGAUAUUAGGAGGAACACCAGUUGCGAAGGCGGCUAUCUGGACUGUAACUGACGCUGAGGC
This 534-nucleotide ribosomal RNA is filed under the name Clostridioides difficile. RNAcentral's name for it is "bacterial SSU rRNA". It matches the Rfam family "Bacterial small subunit ribosomal RNA", at positions 197 to 752 of the family's 1533-position model. Lineage: Bacteria; Bacillati; Bacillota; Clostridia; Peptostreptococcales; Peptostreptococcaceae. The record is from RNAcentral.